AUGGGGUCUUUUGAACACUUCUCGUUUACACCAUGUAAUGAGAACCAGAUGUUGGCAUUUCGGGAUACUCUAGAGGUGUGUGAGAUUAGUGAUCUCGGUUUCUCUAGCUUACCUUUUACCUAUGAUAAUAAGCAGCAUGGAAGGAAGAAUGUGCGGGUGAGGCUUGAUAGAGCGAUGGCGGGCAACCGAUGGCAAGAUAUUUUCUCGGAAGCUAUAGUGGUCCACAAUGUUUUGCCAUGCUCUGAUCAUACGCCACUAGUACUGGAAUGCAUCAAAGAAGAUGUGUCCAACGUCCGGUGCAAUUUUCAUAAGUUUGAAACCUUUUGGGAAGGUGAUGCUAAUUUACCUGAGAAAGUUCAUGCUGCUUAG
Molecule: ribosomal RNA, 369 nt
Filed under: Triticum aestivum (bread wheat)
Lineage: Eukaryota; Viridiplantae; Streptophyta; Magnoliopsida; Poales; Poaceae
Description: partial small subunit ribosomal RNA
Source: RNAcentral